CUUUCUCUUUGCUAUAAUCUCCUUCCCCGUAUUCUCCUUCCACUUGACUUCUCCUUUCUCUACCUCCUCCCUUCCUCUUUUUCUGCUUCCCCUUUCCUUUCUCCCCUUCCUCUUCCCUCCUCUCCCUCCCUGCUUUCCCUUCCCCAGGGACAGAGCAGGCACGGUGAUUCAGCCUUGCCAAGCCGGCCCCGGUGCCAAUCUGGGAGCCGGCACGAGGGGAGCCAGCUGUGUUUAAGGAAAAAACUGCUUUGAGAAACAAAAAUAGUCCCGUGGGGGUGAUUCUUUUCCCCCCUCUCCUUUUUUUCCCUUUCAAGAGCUCGGCUCCCGGCCGGGGCCGGCAGCUGUGCCGUGCCAAGCCUUUCCCCGUGCCAACUGGCGGCUCCCGGUGCUGGGAACACACGGCGUGGCCUGGCCGCGGCAUUCGGCUUCCCAAAAACUGCUCCGCUGGGAGCAGCUGCUGGGGCAGUGCUGAGCGUGGCCGAGUGUCCCUGCUCGGUGUCCCUGCUCCUUGUCCCUGCUCUGGGUGUCCUACUCCAUGUUUCUGCUCCGGGUGUCCCUGCUCGGUGUCCCUGCUCUGGGUGUCCUACUCCAUGUUUCUGCUCCGGGUGUCCCUGCUCCUUGUCCCUGCUCCAUGUCCCUNNNNNNNNNNNNNNNNNNNNNNNNNNNNNNNNNNNNNNNNNGUGUCCUACUCCAUGUUUCUGCUCCGGGUGUCCCUGCUCCUUGUCCCUGCUCCAUGUCCCUGCUCUGAGUGUCCUACUCCAUGUUUCUGCUCCGAGUCUCCCUGCUUGGUGUUCCUGCUCCUUGUCCCUGCUCCAUGUCCCUGCUCUGGGUGUCCUACUCCAUGUUUCUGCUCCGAGUGUCCCUGCUCGGUGUCCCUGCUUCGUGUCCCUGCUCCAUGUCCCUGCUCCGUGUCUAUUCUCCAAAUGUCCCUGCUCGGAGUGUCCUGUUCCAUGUUUCUGCUCAGUGUCCCUGCUCUGAGUGUCCUACUCCAUGUCCCUGCUCCAUGUCUAUUCUCCAAAUGUCCCUGCUCUGUGUCCUGUUCCAUGUUUCUGCUCCGUGUCCCUGCUCUGAGUAUCCUACUCCAUGUCCCUGCUCCAUGUCUAUUCUCCAAAUGUCCCUGCUCGGAGUGUCCUGUUCCAUGUUUCUGCUCCGAGUGUCCCUGCUCCUUGUCCCUGCUCCUUGUCCCUGCUCCGUGUCCCCGCUCCAUGUCCCUGCUCCAUGUCUAUUCUCCACAUGUCCCUGCUCCGAGUGUCCUGCCCCUUGUCCCUGCUCCUUGUCCCUGCUCUGAGUCCCUGCCCCGAGCUUCUCCACAUCUCCCUUUUUCGAAUGUCCCUGCCCCAAGUGUCCUAACCCCAAGCGCCUUCACUCCAAACAUUCCAUCCCCAAGCCUUCACCCAGCAUUCCUGCUCCGAACAUCCUCUUGCUGAGCAUUCCUGAUCCCGAAAAUCCUCACCCCCAGCAG
Molecule: long non-coding RNA, 1462 nt
Filed under: Lonchura striata (white-rumped munia)
Lineage: Eukaryota; Metazoa; Chordata; Aves; Passeriformes; Estrildidae
Description: domestica (Bengalese finch) lncRNA (ENSLSDG00000011321.1)
Source: RNAcentral